RNAcentral lists this ribosomal RNA (375 nucleotides) under uncultured bacterium. Its description in RNAcentral is "bacterial SSU rRNA". It matches the Rfam family "Bacterial small subunit ribosomal RNA", at positions 521 to 896 of the family's 1533-position model. The record is from RNAcentral.
UAAUACGAGAGGCCCGAACGUUAUUCGGAAUUACUGGGCUUAAAGAGUCCGUAGGCGGCUCAGAAAGUGGGGUGUGAAAGCCCUCGGCUCAACCGAGGAAUUGCGCUCCAAACUACUGAGCUCGAGGGACCUAGAGGUGAGCGGAACUGAUGGUGGAGCGGUGAAAUGCGUUGAUAUCAUCAGGAACACCGGAGGCGAAGGCGGCUCACUGGGGGUCUUCUGACGCUGAGGGACGAAAGCUAGGGGAGCAAACGGGAUUAGAUACCCCGGUAGUCCUAGCUGUAAACGAUGAGCACUGGACCGGAGAUCUGCACAGGUUUUCGGUCGUAGCGAAAGUGUUAAGUGCUCCGCCUGGGGAGUAUGGUCGCAAGGCUG